CCUACGGGUGGCAGCAGUGGGGAAUAUUGGACAAUGGGGGGAACCCUGAUCCAGCCAUGCCGCGUGUGUGAAGAAGGCCCUCGGGUUGUAAAGCACUUUCAGUGAGGAAGAACGCCUGGUGGUUAAUACCCAUCAGGAAAGACAUCACUCACAGAAGAAGCACCGGCUAACUCCGUGCCAGCAGCCGCGGUAAUACGGAGGGUGCGAGCGUUAAUCGGAAUUACUGGGCGUAAAGCGCGCGUAGGUGGCUUGAUAAGCCGGUUGUGAAAGCCCCGGGCUCAACCUAGGAACGGCAUCCGGAACUGUCAAGCUAGAGUGCAGGAGAGGAAGGUAGAAUUCCCGGUGUAGCGGUGAAAUGCGUAGAGAUCGGGAGGAAUACCAGUGGCGAAGGCGGCCUUCUGGACUGACACUGACACUGAGGUGCGAAAGCGUGGGUAGCAAACAGGAUUAGAUACCCUUGUAGUC
Molecule: ribosomal RNA, 465 nt
Filed under: Vreelandella stevensii
Lineage: Bacteria; Pseudomonadati; Pseudomonadota; Gammaproteobacteria; Oceanospirillales; Halomonadaceae
Description: partial 16S ribosomal RNA
Rfam family: Bacterial small subunit ribosomal RNA
Source: RNAcentral